GAUGAACGCUGGCGGCGUGCCUAAUACAUGCAAGUCGAGCGAACGGACGAGAAGCUUGCUUCUCUGAUGUUAGCGGCGGACGGGUGAGUAACACGUGGAUAACCUACCUAUAAGACUGGGAUAACUUCGGGAAACCGGAGCUAAUACCGGAUAAUAUUUUGAACCGCAUGGUUCAAAAGUGAAAGACGGUCUUGCUGUCACUUAUAGAUGGAUCCGCGCUGCAUUAGCUAGUUGGUAAGUUAACGGCUUACCAAGGCAACGAUGCAUAGCCGACCUGAGAGGGUGAUAGGCCACACUGGAACUGAGCCACGGUCCAGACUCCUACGGGAGGCAGCAGUAGGGAAUCUUCCGCAAUGGGCGAAAGCCUGACGGAGCAACGCCGCGUGAGUGAUGAAGGUCUUCGGAUCGUAAAACUCUGUUAUUAGGGAAGAACAUAUGUGUAAGUAACUGUGCACAUCUUGACGGUACCUAAUCAGAAAGCCACGGCUAACUACGUG
This 497-nucleotide ribosomal RNA is filed under the name uncultured bacterium. RNAcentral describes it as "partial 16S ribosomal RNA". It matches the Rfam family "Bacterial small subunit ribosomal RNA", at positions 28 to 507 of the family's 1533-position model. The record is from RNAcentral.